GGGUAAGUCCUGCACGGACAGCUCCCCGAGAAUUCCCCCAGGUCUUGACCGAAGCAAGGGUAUCGGGUUGAGCGUCGCGAUGUAGAUAGCUUACCCUUU
This 99-nucleotide signal recognition particle RNA is filed under the name Bacteroides sp. Its description in RNAcentral is "signal recognition particle sRNA small type". It matches the Rfam family "Bacteroidales small SRP". From Rfam's summary of the family: The non-coding component of the signal recognition particle in Bacteroides The record is from RNAcentral. RNAcentral also lists the same sequence under 1 other name. Lineage: Bacteria; Pseudomonadati; Bacteroidota; Bacteroidia; Bacteroidales; Bacteroidaceae.